RNAcentral lists this unclassified non-coding RNA (1543 nucleotides) under Hevea brasiliensis (rubber tree). The record is from RNAcentral. Lineage: Eukaryota; Viridiplantae; Streptophyta; Magnoliopsida; Malpighiales; Euphorbiaceae.
GGCUGCUGCAGGUUUGUUUCAAAAGACAUUUCAUUGUUUUUAUUGUUACAAGAGUUCUGUUGUGAUUUUUUGGUUACUAUUUAAUAUAUUUGAUGUGAAAUUUAGUAUCUUUAUGCGUCAUGUUUUGAAGAAAGAAGAGAACUAAAUCACUCUCCAAGUGCUCAAAUUCAGUGGGAUAACUUCCUAUUGAACCAGGAAACAUGAUUAAUCAUAUGCAUAGUUGGAAAUGAGCGUUGGCUGCAUGAUGCAGGAGAGGGAAUUCAUUUGAUUAUGAAAUUAUCACCUUUCCAGUGUCUAAGAGCUGGGACUGUUUUAAACAGUUUUUGAAGUAAAUUUAUCAGUUCUUAUAGCUGGACAACAGUUAAAUAUAAUUCCAAAAGGGGGACUGCAGACGUGAUUGCCACUCAUCAUGUCAAAUGAUUCUAGAUGGAGAUGGCUAUUUUAGGUUUGUUAAUUUGGUUUACGUUGUAUGGUUCAAUGCAUGAGCUUAACUCUUUUAUGGUAGACUGAUAGUUUCUUAAGCAUUGGGCUAGUCACUUGGGAAGAACUUCUUGUGCAAAUCAAAGGGUAAUGCUUAGGCUGCCAAUUAGUGUAGAUGGCCUAGAGGCUAGAUUUGAUCCCUUAUACACAAUGAAAGUUUAAAUACAGGAGCCCUGGUAUUAUUAGAUGCUUCGGUGUUUGACUUUUGUAAAGUGGUGAUUUGCCUUUCAUUCAGGUGUAUUAUUGGAAUCUAAAUCUGGUAUGAAAAACUGAAUAUGGGGUUGUGAACUGAAAAAUGAGCAAGAUUGUUGAAAAGGGUACCAAUUAAAUGGACUUUCAUAUAUGUUCGUGAUUCCAAUAUUUUACCCUUAAAUGAUACAGUGCCAGGCACCAUAAGAAAUUAACAUUCCUGUGAGACAAAUUUGCAAUGUAGUCUUUAUUUCUGUCUGGGACAUAAGAACCUCAUUUGAAGCAUAUCCUCCACCCUAUAUGGUUAUCAACAAUAAAAGUUAGUUGCAUAUUUUUGGUUUUUCAAAUCAAAUGAAUUUAAUUUGUUUAUCUAUUUUUAAUGUUUGACCAUGAUGUUUGAAUUUCACCAAUUUCAAUCCUCUUCCCAAUACUCAAAAAAGUUUGACCAUGAUGUUUUACAUUGUGAAUCAAUCAGGUCCUCAUUCAAGAAUAUGGUUAGCUUCUAGGAGUCUGCUUCUUUGAAACUUAUGUUGCUUUGUGAUUAAGCUAUCAUACUACUAAUUAUGAUUGAUUCACAGAAAUGAUUUCAUGAUUGUUUCUAAAUUCUGGAAGAGAAGAUGUAUGGGGGUUUUAUGAAUGGUUUGAAUGCGUUAUUGAAAUUGAAUAAUGGUGUUCUGAUUACACAAUAAGAUUCCUCUCUAAUUUUGAAAUAAAUAAGAAGCCGAAGUCGGGGCAAAAAACAUCUGCCAGUUUUAUGGUAUGACUCUGAUUAGUCAGUUUUAAUCCCUUUUGGCAUAUCUUAAUCUUAUUUAUUCAUUCAUAAUAGGUUUAGGAUGUUUUCUUUAAGAUGCUCACUUCCCCGUUUUCUUCUUUU